AACAAAAACUAAUUUAUAAAAUUUUUGUAAAUAUAAACUAAAAACGUAAACGUUAUCAACGCUACCUUAGUAAUUGACUUUUUUAGUGAAUUUUUUUUUUUAAUUUUUUAUGAAAUGAUGCGCAAAGAGUAAAGAUAAUAGAUUGAUUUUUGUAGUGAGUUUUUGGUUAAAACCUCAUCUUCUCAAACGAGGCUUAAGUUGCACCAACUAGGGCUAUAAAUGUCUGAUAUUUAGGUGUUUUUGAUGGUUUAUUUGCUUGGUUUAUUCCUUAUUUCUUCGUGUGGGUCCCA
Molecule: non-coding RNA, 290 nt
Organism: Camellia sinensis
Lineage: Eukaryota; Viridiplantae; Streptophyta; Magnoliopsida; Ericales; Theaceae
Source: RefSeq, a predicted model, not a curated record